RNAcentral lists this long non-coding RNA (1728 nucleotides) under Limulus polyphemus (Atlantic horseshoe crab). RNAcentral describes it as "uncharacterized LOC111085297, transcript variant X2". The record is from RNAcentral. Lineage: Eukaryota; Metazoa; Arthropoda; Merostomata; Xiphosura; Limulidae.
UCGAAAAAUUUCAUUCGAUAGCCUUAGUUACAGCAUGAGAUAAACUAUUGUCGUGAGAUAAACAUGUCCAAAGGUCACAUUUUUGUCACUUAUUAUACUAGACAUCUCACAGAACAAGAAUUUGAGAGGUACAAUCCGAAAGUGUCCCUUUUUGCCGCAUGCGAUCCCUAUACAGCGCCUCAAGUGUUGUUUACACCCAUGAGACAGGCAGAUAAGCUGUCAGCAUUUAUGUCUACCUCAUAGAAAACUCAUCAUCCUACACAGGACGCUCCAUGAGGGCAUAUAAAAGCAUUGCCAGGGUAACCCACUCCCUGAACCUUAGUGAAACUCUAACGCAUUCAUGGGUAGAAAUCUAGGAGAAUGUAGUUGUGCUUGUAUGUUCACAUGUGGAAGCUGUACUAUUUGCAGUUACAGCUGCAGAAAGGGGCAUGCUGAGAGUACAAGAAUCAGUUUCACCAGAAAUCAGUGUAAGAGACAUCUACUGAAGACAGCUGCUCCCAGACCCCACCACUGACAGUUAAAUCAUGUAAGGAUUUUGACACCAAGCCAUAUGAAAGUGAAGCUGAAGAACCAGAGAGGUGCACUUCUUUCGGUAGUUACUGGACAUGCAGAUAGAUAUGUUCCUCGAACAUUUCAUCCCCAGUCCCUAACCUCUCUCUACCCAAGUGGUUUGUUCGAAUGGGACAUUCAUCAAUUACUUUUCAAGAGUAAAAAAAGUUGGUCGUGAAAUUAAUUUUGCCACAUGAAAAGUGUCAUUUCAUUGAAAAAGAGACUCGAAAACAAGCAAAGAGCAAGGUCUGGUUCAGUCAGAGAGCAGGAAGAGUGACAGCAUCCAACUUCAGUGCAACAGCAAAGAAAACCCCAAGCUAAUCAUCUGUGUCCCUCAUCAAAAAAGAUCUGCUAUCCCCAUUCAUACAAGUUCACAAAUGAGCAAUCAGCACAAAAGUCAACUGGAAAUUACAUUGUGUUACGUAUUUUAAACAAUAGCCGUGUAAAGACGUAGAACGUCAGCCCGACUAAAGACCUGAGUUGUGUGUGAGACACAUACGCCUACAUCUGACGUAGAUAACCUAGCAACAGCUCGAGUAAAGAUGUGUCUAGUGUUAGACACCUACAGGUUACAUAUGUCUACAUCUGACGUAGAUAAUUUAUAACAACAGCUCGAGUAAAGAUGUGUCUAGUGUUAAACACCUACAGGUUAUGUAAGUCUUCUUAUUCUUCGCCCGUCGUUCCACCUUUUUUUAUUAAAUUUUAGACCAGAGCCCAACAGAUCUUCAGUAGAUAUCUCCAAGACUCGCUGACCGUGACUGGAACUCUUUUACUCUUCGGUAUGUCAUCAUCAAUCACCAUUAGUUUCUUCAUUACUUGUAAGUUCGAGAUGUUCGACUUUUAACCUGUUCACAAUGGACUUUUUUUGACAGCCCUUGAUGGAGCAAAUUCAUCUAUCAAGCCCAAAGAUGCUGUGGUGGCACUCAAAAAUUGGUUUGAUGCUGGCAAUGAUAGUAACGAUAGCAGUAGCCGUCCUUCAGAUCAGAAGAACAAGUGCAAGCCUCCAAAUUCAAACAGACAAUGAAGAAAGAUCGCAUAAUUUGAUUUGCGAAUCAAAAAGAGAUAAUCAGCUAGUGCGUGUGACAGUUGCUAGUAAUGUGGUGCAGACACUCCAAAACUGUUUGUCUCUUCGUUUCUUUGACUACUUAUAUAUAUAUAACUUCUGACUGAAACAGCAGA